UCUCACUUGUAUCAAACUAUAUAACCCUAAAGCCUUAUCUUUUUUUUCCAACCUCAUCCAGAUUGCAACCUUCUCCAACCCGGAUUCCCGUCACUCCGUCGACUCAUACUGCUCCGGCCGCCACCUCGACGUUCGCUCUCACUCAUUCACAGGUUCACUUUGAUUUUUGUAUCGCGGAAUUACAGCCAUUUCAAGUCGGGAAUCUAAACUCCUUGCUGGAAAUCGUGCUAUUGCUCAGCCAUGUGAAUUCAAGGUGAAAGCUCAACCUGGAAAGGAAAGGAAAGGAAAGGAAAGGAAGUGCAAACUUGUAGACAACCUAAAUGGUUUAUUCUUCGCACAAGCAACACCAAAACCUCCAUCGGCAAUGUACACUAUAGUUGAAGGAAUGCGAGUUGGUGGAAAGCGAACUGUGAUGGUUCCUCCUGAAAAAGGGAAUGAAUGAGAUUCCGUGCGCUUGAUCGAUCCACCAUCAAUGCCUCUGUCAAGAAAACCAACAGAUUGGUGACAGUUGAAGAAGGGUUUCCCCAGCAUGGUGUUGGAGCUGAAAUCUGGUUUAUCUAUUUACAUUAGUUUCUAUAUCUAUCUUUCUAGUUAAAUUUUGGGAAGUUGUAUAAGUUCAUACUUCUUUGCGCAUCACAUUUUUCGUUGAAGGGAGUUUUGUUAUCUUGAUGAUGCACUGGUUGAGAGAAUUGUUGGGGCUGAUGUUCCCAUGCCUUAUGCAGCAAAUUUGGAGAGGUUAGCUGUUCCACAGGUAAUGUUUCUUAAAUAUUACUUGUAAGGCUUCAACACAUGUGUAUGGAUCAUUUGAAUCUAUUUUCUUGUUGGUUGGUAUUUAUGUCCAAAUGUAUUUACUUGUAAGGUUUCAAUACAUGUGUAUGGAUUGUUUGAAUCUAUUUGUGUGGAUCAUUUGAAUCUAUUUACUUGUAAGGUUUCUUAAAUAUUCUUAAAUUUUGUUGUACUGGAUGGUGUUUAUGUCCAAAUGGCAGAUUUCCGCUAUAGCUAUAUUAUAUAUGAUUAA
This is a long non-coding RNA of Cicer arietinum (chickpea), 1018 nucleotides long. RefSeq lists it as uncharacterized. NCBI's taxonomy places the organism in Eukaryota, Viridiplantae, Streptophyta, Magnoliopsida, Fabales, Fabaceae. The record is from RefSeq and is a predicted model, not a curated record.